AACGACUCUCGGCAACGGAUAUCUCGGCUCUCGCAUCGAUGAAGAACGUAGCGAAAUGCGAUACUUGGUGUGAAUUGCAGAAUCCCGUGAACCAUCGAGUCUUUGAACGCAAGUUGCGCCCCAAGCCUUCUGGCCGAGGGCACGUCUGCCUGGUUGUCACAAA
This 163-nucleotide ribosomal RNA is filed under the name Weberbauera spathulifolia. RNAcentral's name for it is "5.8S ribosomal RNA". It matches the Rfam family "5.8S ribosomal RNA". From Rfam's summary of the family: 5.8S ribosomal RNA (5.8S rRNA) is a component of the large subunit of the eukaryotic ribosome. It is transcribed by RNA polymerase I as part of the 45S precursor that also contains 18S and 28S rRNA. Functionally, it is thought that 5.8S rRNA may be involved in ribosome translocation. The record is from RNAcentral. Lineage: Eukaryota; Viridiplantae; Streptophyta; Magnoliopsida; Brassicales; Brassicaceae.